This is a long non-coding RNA of Mirounga angustirostris (Northern elephant seal), 505 nucleotides long. RefSeq lists it as uncharacterized. Lineage: Eukaryota; Metazoa; Chordata; Mammalia; Carnivora; Phocidae. The record is from RefSeq and is a predicted model, not a curated record. The transcript is spliced from 5 exons.
AUUUUGAACUUCGAGGAACUGUUAAUGUAUCUUUAAGCAAUGUUUCUUAAACAGGGAAUCAAGGAUAUGAAUGUGGAAAUCUAGUCAAUGUUACAACAUUAAGUAUCCUCUUCAGUGAGGAGGCGAACACAUGAGUAACUGUAGUUAAAGGCCUCUUCCUUCUGAAGAAUCUUGCUUUUCUUCUUCUCUAUUAUGUCCAGUCUGGAGGCCUUUAAUUCUUUUCCUUGCCUGACUACACUGCUAGAAUCUGCAGCACAAUUGGAUAGAAGUGGUUCCGCCAGACAGCAUUUAUUACACCGGGAAAGCAACACUAGGCACUAGAUCUUGCAAAAUAUGCUCUGACCAACUCUAUAAACUCUCUGAAAUUAAAAAUGCGUAACCACUGGAAAGUUUUUAAUGAACAAAAAAGGUAAAUACAAACUUUCAUAUGCAAAAUAGAUCAUUGUACAACUGGCAGCCUCAGAGCCAAGUACUAAAUUUUCUUCCAAAUUUCAGUGGGGAUGGA